GAUGAACGCUGGCGGCGUGCCUAAUACAUGCAAGUCGAGCGAACAGACGAGGAGCUUGCUCCUCUGACGUUAGCGGCGGACGGGUGAGUAACACGUGGAUAACCUACCUAUAAGACUGGGAUAACUUCGGGAAACCGGAGCUAAUACCGGAUAAUAUAUUGAACCGCAUGGUUCAAUAGUGAAAGACGGUUUUGCUUUCACUUAUAGAUGGAUCCGCGCCGCAUUAGCUAGUUGGUAAGGUAACGGCUUACCAAGGCAACGAUGCGUAGCCGACCCGAGAGGGUGAUCGGACACACUGGAACUGAGAAACGGUCCAGACUCCUACGGGAGGCAGCAGUAGGGAAUCUUCCGCAAUGGGCGAAUGCCUGACGUAGCAACGCCGCGUGAGUGAUGAAGGUCUUCGGAUCGUAAAACUCUGUUAUUAGGGAAGAACAAAUGUGUAAGUAACUAUGCACGUCUUGACGGUACCUAAUCAGAAAGCCACGGCUAACUACGUG
RNAcentral lists this ribosomal RNA (497 nucleotides) under uncultured bacterium. Its description in RNAcentral is "partial 16S ribosomal RNA". It matches the Rfam family "Bacterial small subunit ribosomal RNA", at positions 28 to 507 of the family's 1533-position model. The record is from RNAcentral.